AGGAUGGUGGAAUUGAGGCCCAUGAAACUGAAAUGAAUACAAUAUCUUGAAUGCUGUGCGUGAUGCACCAUGGAAAGUACUUGAUAAAGAAUUUGAAACACAUUUCCCUUACGGACCACGUAUCUGAGUCGUACCAUUACUCACAAACAGGACAAGCACUGCGCGAUGACUAGAAAUUCCAGGUGUGAGCGCCUACAGUGUGCCGAUGGCUUCACACUCCGCUACCGUAGCAAGUUCUGUGUGCUAGUUCCUCAGCAGAAUCAUGAUGUUCAUCGGCCACCCCUGGCGUGGAAAACACCACAGGGCUUCGCAGGUGCCGGAAGAAAAGAAUCAGCUGCUCAGAUUAGGAGCCGCUUAACGAGCCACCUGUGAAAAUAAAAUAUCGCUACCUUUUCUUGAAA
This is a non-coding RNA of Myodes glareolus (Bank vole), 401 nucleotides long. The record is from RefSeq and is a predicted model, not a curated record. Lineage: Eukaryota; Metazoa; Chordata; Mammalia; Rodentia; Cricetidae.